GGAUUGUGGCUCAGUGGUAGAGCGCUCGCCUAGCACCUGCGAGGCCCUGGAUUCGAUCCUCAGCACCA
Molecule: transfer RNA, 68 nt
Filed under: Marmota monax (woodchuck)
Lineage: Eukaryota; Metazoa; Chordata; Mammalia; Rodentia; Sciuridae
Description: tRNA.Ala
Source: RNAcentral